UAUGCCAUGGAUCUCAUCUAUUCCCCUUAAACAAGGGAUAACGUGGGUUCCGACCUGGAAUCUGGACCCCCAAUUAUAGUGUGUUUAAAGAGAUUGGAGGAACUCUUCCUCGGUCUCUGUAUCCAAAGAUACUGGUAAUUAGAGCUUCAAGUGUUCGGUUCUACUCUCCCGAUGCUACAGCAGAAACUAUAGCUAUACGUGGCGGCCCCACACGCAGCUUUGUUUAACAAGCAUCACCCUUCCUUUCUUUUCAAAUGCUUCCUCAGUCA
This 269-nucleotide long non-coding RNA is filed under the name Hordeum vulgare. RNAcentral describes it as "long non-coding RNA (HVUL_LNC014757)". The record is from RNAcentral. Lineage: Eukaryota; Viridiplantae; Streptophyta; Magnoliopsida; Poales; Poaceae.